Molecule: RNase P RNA, 357 nt
Filed under: Bacillota bacterium
Lineage: Bacteria; Bacillati; Bacillota
Description: Firmicutes bacterium (hot springs metagenome) partial RNase P RNA component class A
Rfam family: Bacterial RNase P class A
About the family: Ribonuclease P (RNase P) is a ubiquitous endoribonuclease, found in archaea, bacteria and eukarya as well as chloroplasts and mitochondria.
Source: RNAcentral
AGGGUGGGACGGGCGACCGCAGGUGGCGCUGUUUCAAAAAGCGGCGCUGCCUGAGGAAAGUCCGGCCUCCGUAGGGCAGGGCGCUCGCCAAGACCGGUGACGGAAGUUCACCAGUCAAGGUGAGGAAGUUGCUCUGGCGAGAUGCUGGGGCAACUUCGGAAAGUGCCACAGAAACCAUACCGCCGUCGGGUGAAGCGGCACUGCAGCUUCACUGCCAGCCGCUGCGGUGUUUGUGUUUCCCGGCGGUAAGGGUGAAAUGGUGGGGUAAGAGCCCACCAGCACGACCGCGAGGUCGUGGCUGGGCAAACCCCGCCCGGAGCAAGACCAAAUAGGGGGCGCUAUCAGGUUGCCCGCCGA